This 497-nucleotide ribosomal RNA is filed under the name uncultured bacterium. RNAcentral's name for it is "partial 16S ribosomal RNA". It matches the Rfam family "Bacterial small subunit ribosomal RNA", at positions 28 to 507 of the family's 1533-position model. The record is from RNAcentral.
GAUGAACGCUGGCGGCGUGCCUAAUACAUGCAAGUCGAGCGAACGGACGAGAAGCUUGCUUCUCUGAUGUUAGCGGCGGACGGGUGAGUAACACGUGGAUAACCUACCUAUAAGACUGGGAUAACUUCGGGAAACCGGAGCUAAUACCGGAUGAUAUUUUGAACCGCAUGGUUCAAAAGUGAAAGACGGUCUUGCUGUCACUUAUAGAUGGAUCCGCGCUGCAUUAGCUAGUUGGUAAGGUAACGGCUUACCAAGGCAACGAUGCAUAGCCGACCUGAGAGGGUGAUCGGCCACACUGGAACUGAGACACGGUCCAGACGCCUACGGGAGGCAGCAGUAGGGAAUCUUCCGCAAAGGGCGAAAGCCUGACGGAGCAACGCCGCGUGAGUGAUGAAGGUCUUCGGAUCGUAAAACUCUGUUAUUAGGGAAGAACAUAUGUGUAAGUAACUGUGCACAUCUUGACGGUACCUAAUCAGAAAGCCACGGCUAACUACGUG